GCACCAGAACUUGAACCCAUGAAAGGUUUCCUGAUGCCGACCAAGACUUGCACCAAACUUGGCUGUCUGAACCUUCCGGGAGCUUGUUAAAAUAGAGAAAUACCUUUCUCCUUCGCAUCUUUCUCCGCUAGACUGGCUUGGAUCUCAUCUUCACUCGUUUCAACUCCCCACGGCUCUGUCGGGUUCUGACCACGUGAGAGACGGACACCACACGAGAUCAUCAUCAAACGAGGGACAGCCACGGCUUUAGAAGAAAGCUGCCAGUGCGGAUUUGCUUGUGUUUUAGGCCCAGAGUCAUCUGAUUUUCACGAGACGGUAACGCCGCGAAGGUUUACAGCUCAAGGCUCAGCCCUUGGUAAAGAUCCACCAGGCGAAAUUUCGUUUUCCUGGACUGAAUGGUGAACCUCCUGAAAGUCUAAACAAGGACCUCUCGAGCUGUCACGUGUGGUCGCUCCUGAACCCGUGCCCAUGGUGCUAAGUCAUAAGGACACAGCUGGCAGAUCCAAGGACCCCGUGACAUCCGUACUUGCAGCUGACAAUUUUCAAGAACUUGAGUUUUAAGGCUAAUAACAAAUAGGUUGAAACCCAGCUUCGCAAAGAUACAACACGUUGAAAGAAAUGUGGUGUGAUUUCACGCUGAAACUGAACUCCCCCUCGGACUUGCGGUUUGUGCAGCAUCCAAACAGAAAUCAGCAAAAGAUUCUGAUACAUGUUGGAUGUGACUGAAAAGAAGCUGCCAAAAUUGUGCUCCAAGAAGAACAAGGCUUUGUACUUCAUCAGAGAAUCUGGUGGCUUUCAUGAGCCAGAGAACAACAGUGCUUAUGAAGUAGUUUCACGAAGGGCUUAGUCAGUACAAGACCAGUACUUUCUUCUGGAUACCCUGAAAUAUUUACGAGACUGCGUCUGCUUUAGGAAGAAGCUAGAGGUGAAGACACCGAGGCACAAAGAAGUUAGGUGGCCACCCCAAGCGCCCACUGCUG
Balaenoptera musculus (blue whale) is the source of this 980-nucleotide long non-coding RNA. RefSeq lists it as uncharacterized. The transcript has 9 exons. NCBI's taxonomy places the organism in Eukaryota, Metazoa, Chordata, Mammalia, Artiodactyla, Balaenopteridae. The record is from RefSeq and is a predicted model, not a curated record.